GACGAACGCUGGCGGCGUGGAUUAGGCAUGCAAGUCGAACGGUAGGAUACCUUCGGGUAUCUGAGAGUGGCGAACGGGUGAGUAACACGUAGGUGAUCUACCCUCAAGAUUGGGACAACCCAGGGAAACUUGGGCUAAUACCGGAUGAAAGCAGCAGUGAUGUUGUUUGAAAGGUGGCGUAAGCUGCCGUUUGGGGAUGAGCCUGCGCUCUAUUAGUUAGUUGGCGGGGUAAAGGCCCACCAAGGCGAUGAUAGAUAGGCGGCCUUAACGGGUGGUCGCCCACACUGGGAUUGAGAUACGGCCCAGACUCCUACGGGAGGCAGCAGUCGAGAAUAGUCUACAAUGGCCGAAAGGCUGAUAGUGCGACGCCGCGUGAACGAAGAAGCCCUUCGGGUGUAAAGUUCUUUUAUAUGUGAGCAGUGCUUUCUAUGUGAACAGCAUGGGGAGAGAGAUAUUAGCAUAUGAAUAAGCGACGGCUAACUCCGUGCCAGC
RNAcentral lists this ribosomal RNA (492 nucleotides) under uncultured bacterium. RNAcentral's name for it is "bacterial SSU rRNA". It matches the Rfam family "Bacterial small subunit ribosomal RNA", at positions 28 to 512 of the family's 1533-position model. The record is from RNAcentral.